Molecule: transfer RNA, 62 nt
Filed under: Acinetobacter baumannii 342950
Lineage: Bacteria; Pseudomonadati; Pseudomonadota; Gammaproteobacteria; Moraxellales; Moraxellaceae
Also listed under: 3 other names
Description: partial tRNA-Met
Rfam family: tRNA
About the family: Transfer RNA (tRNA) molecules are approximately 80 nucleotides in length. Their secondary structure includes four short double-helical elements and three loops (D, anti-codon, and T loops).
Source: RNAcentral
GCGGGGUGGAGCAGUCUGGUAGCUCGUCGGGCUCAUAACCCGAAGGUCGUUGGUUCAAAUCC